RNAcentral lists this ribosomal RNA (475 nucleotides) under uncultured cyanobacterium. RNAcentral's name for it is "bacterial SSU rRNA". It matches the Rfam family "Bacterial small subunit ribosomal RNA", at positions 363 to 852 of the family's 1533-position model. Lineage: Bacteria; Bacillati; Cyanobacteriota. The record is from RNAcentral.
UUUCCGCAAUGGGCGAAAGCCUGACGGAGCAAUACCGCGUGAGGGAGGAAGGCUUUUGGGUUGUAAACCUCUUUUCUCAAGGAAGAAGAUAUGACGGUACUUGAGGAAUAAGCAUCGGCUAACUCCGUGCCAGCAGCCGCGGUAAUACGGAGGAUGCAAGCGUUAUCCGGAAUGAUUGGGCGUAAAGCGUCUGCAGGUGGCUAUGCAAGUCUGCUGUUAAAGAGUGGAGCUCAACUCCAUAAGGGCAGUGGAAACUGCGUGACUAGAGUACGUUCGGGGUAGAGGGAAUUCCUGGUGUAGCGGUGAAAUGCGUAGAUAUCAGGAAGAACACCGGUGGCGAAAGCGCUCUACUAGGCCGUAACUGACACUGAGAGACGAAAGCUAAGGGAGCGAAUGGGAUUAGAUACCCCAGUAGUCUUAGCCGUAAACGAUGGAUACUAGGCGUUGCUUGUAUCGACCCGAGCCGUGCCGAAGC